Molecule: small nuclear RNA, 107 nt
Organism: Diceros bicornis minor
Lineage: Eukaryota; Metazoa; Chordata; Mammalia; Perissodactyla; Rhinocerotidae
Source: RefSeq, a predicted model, not a curated record
GUGCUCACUUUGGCAGCGUGUAUACUAAAAUUGGAACAAUGGAGAGAAGAGUAGCAUGGUCCCCGCACAAGGAUGACACACAAAUUCAUGAAGCGUUCCGUAUUUUU